RNAcentral lists this ribosomal RNA (253 nucleotides) under uncultured bacterium. Its description in RNAcentral is "partial 16S ribosomal RNA". It matches the Rfam family "Bacterial small subunit ribosomal RNA", at positions 524 to 776 of the family's 1533-position model. The record is from RNAcentral.
UACGUAGGGUGCGAGCGUUGUCCGGAAUUAUUGGGCGUAAAGGGCUCGUAGGCGGUUUGUCGCGUCGGGAGUGAAAACUCAGGGCUUAACCCUGAGCCUGCUUCCGAUACGGGCAGACUAGAGGUAUGCAGGGGAGAAUGGAAUUCCUGGUGUAGCGGUGAAAUGCGCAGAUAUCAGGAGGAACACCGGUGGCGAAGGCGGUUCUCUGGGCAUUACCUGACGCUGAGGAGCGAAAGUGUGGGGAGCGAACGGG